GCAUUGGUGGUUCAGUGGUAGAAUUUUCGCCUGCCACGCGGGAGGCCCGGGUUCGAUUCCUGGCCAAUGCA
Molecule: transfer RNA, 71 nt
Filed under: Cavia porcellus (domestic guinea pig)
Lineage: Eukaryota; Metazoa; Chordata; Mammalia; Rodentia; Caviidae
Description: tRNA-Gly (GCC) (tRNA-Gly-GCC-3-1)
Rfam family: tRNA
About the family: Transfer RNA (tRNA) molecules are approximately 80 nucleotides in length. Their secondary structure includes four short double-helical elements and three loops (D, anti-codon, and T loops).
Source: Rfam by way of RNAcentral